GCAAACCAUGCUGCACAGACCAGUGAUGUACACCUCGGGAAGUGGAGGUAUUGCUCUCCCUGGUUCCAAUCCUGCUGCCAUCUGUGCCUAAGCUGCCAAGUGGUUUCUUGUGGCUGAAACAGAACAACCUACAGGGAAGAUAGAUGCAAAGAAAAAGAAAGAAUUUACAUGAUGCAGAGAAAUUUCUGGAGAACAGAUGUGGGGACUAGAGAGGUAAUCCAGAGGAAAAAAAGCUUCCUCAGAAUCACAGAAUAAACUAGGUUGGAAAAGACCUUUGAGACCAUCAAGUCCAACCUGCAGCCUAACUUUAUCAUGUCUGAAGCGCACUGCAUUGGUGAAGAAAACUCUUAUUAUCACUACAUGGCCCUGCUCAGGUCUUGUGGGACUGUGUGCUGGUCACUGAGAGCACAGCUCUGACCCUUGGUUCUCCUGCAGCGAGCAACCCUGCUGCUGCUUCCCCUUGCCACCUCCAUGGACCCAAUCCCUCUCUGGGGGACUGACAUCUGACACCAUGGCAUAGUGCUUAUGCCAAUCAGUGCUUUUAACAGAACUCUGUCAGUUUACAGCAUAGAGCAACAUUGUAAGGAACAAAAAGAAAAUUGAUACUCCAUGGAAAGAUAGUGUCUUUCAUAAAUGAGAUACAGAACAGAAAUUGGGUGUUUAUAUUUGAUACUUGAUUAUUGAUCAUUUGAUUUCUACAGAAUGGAUUUCUUCUAUCCUUAUAUAGCAGGUACAGAAGUGUCCAAAAUAUAAAGACUGAAAGUUCCUUGCUCAAUGUCACCUCAAAUUAAAGUCAGACAGAAAGACUACAGGAUUUGUUAAAGUUGUGCUUUAUCUGCUGGGCCAUGUUGUUUCCCUUGAAAUGCACUGGAAAAAUAGUAUAGCAGCAGUGUGAGAGACAAGAAAAUGAAGUUAUUCUGCAAAAAUGCUACUUUAAAAGCAUUGUACAUUAGUGUCUGACUUUGGUUUAAAAGCAUCAGUUUCUGUUUUACCUGCAGCACUUGUACAAUCACUGCUUGUCUG
Long non-coding RNA from Corvus hawaiiensis (hawaiian crow), 1023 nucleotides. RefSeq lists it as uncharacterized. Lineage: Eukaryota; Metazoa; Chordata; Aves; Passeriformes; Corvidae. The record is from RefSeq and is a predicted model, not a curated record. The transcript is spliced from 3 exons.